Molecule: long non-coding RNA, 429 nt
Filed under: Cucumis sativus (cucumber)
Lineage: Eukaryota; Viridiplantae; Streptophyta; Magnoliopsida; Cucurbitales; Cucurbitaceae
Description: long non-coding RNA (CSAT_LNC001169)
Source: RNAcentral
ACGAAAUAGCUAAAAAAAGUUAUUAAUAAAUAAUAGAAAAGAAAAACCGAAAGAAAAAAAGAAAAGCAAAUGAAAAAGAGAAAAAAUAGAACAAAAAUAGAAAACAAAAAAGAGUAAACUGAUAAGAAAAAAAAAAAAGAGAAAGUAAAGAAAUUGAAGAAACAAAAAUGAAAAAGAACUUAAUAAAAUGUGUAGGUGGAGUCACUCUUCCCCUACAUCUGUUUUUAGAUUGAAAUUUUAUUUUUCAGAUUUCGAAUCAAGGCUCAGGUUGUUAUUGGUCGAAUUUAUGAAGACCGACGUCCGACGUCAGUAGAAAUAAAGUUCAGUGACAACUCCGACCAUUUUUUAUCCACAAUCACCUAAAAGAAAAAUAAAAAAAACUUCCUUGGUUAGACUCCUUUUCCAUUAAUUUCACAAUCAGGUAAAAAG